Molecule: ribosomal RNA, 492 nt
Filed under: uncultured bacterium
Lineage: Bacteria
Description: partial 16S ribosomal RNA
Rfam family: Bacterial small subunit ribosomal RNA
Source: RNAcentral
AGUGAACGCUGGCGGUAGGCCUAACACAUGCAAGUCGAACGGCAGCACAGUAAGAGCUUGCGCUUACGGGUGGCGAGUGGCGGACGGGGGAGGAAUACAUCGGAAUCUACUUUUUCGGGGGGGAUAACGUAGGGAAACUUACGCUAAUACCGCAUACGACCUACGGGUGAAAGCAGGGGAUCUUCGGACUUUGCGCGAUUGAAUGAGCCGAUGUCGGAUUCGCUAGUUGGCGGGGUAAAGGGCAACCAAGGCUACGAUCCGAAGCUGGUCUGAGAGGAUGAUCCGCCACAUUGUAACUGAGACACGGUCCAGACUCCUACGGUAGGCCGCAGUGGGGAAUAUUGGACAAUGGGGGCGAGCCUGAUCCAGCCAUACCGCGUGGGUGAAGAAGGCCUUCUGGUUGUAAAGCCAUUUUGUUGGGAAAGAAAAGCAGCAGGUUAAUCCCCCGCUGUUCUGACGGUACCCAAAGAAUAAGCACCGGCUAACUUCGUG